UGGGGAAUUUUGGACAAUGGGGGAAACCCUGAUCCAGCCAUCCCGGGUGUGCGAUGAAGGCCUUCGGGUUGUAAAGCACUUUUGGCAGGAAAGAAACGUCAUGGGUUAAUACCCCGUGAAACUGACGGUACCUGCAGAAUAAGCACCGGCUAACUACGUGCCAGCAGCCGCGGUAAUACGUAGGGUGCAAGCGUUAAUCGGAAUUACUGGGCGUAAAGCGGGCGCAGGCGGUUCGGAAAGAAAGAUGUGAAAUCCCAGAGCUCAACUUUGGAACUGCAUUUUUAACUACCGGGCUAGAGUGUGUCAGAGGGAGGUGGAAUUCCGCGUGUAGCAGUGAAAUGCGUAGAUAUGCGGAGGAACACCGAUGGCGAAGGCAGCCUCCUGGGAUAACACUGACGCUCAUGCACGAAAGCGUGGGGAGCAAACAGG
RNAcentral lists this ribosomal RNA (429 nucleotides) under Acidobacteriota bacterium. Its description in RNAcentral is "Acidobacteria bacterium partial 16S ribosomal RNA". It matches the Rfam family "Bacterial small subunit ribosomal RNA", at positions 355 to 776 of the family's 1533-position model. The record is from RNAcentral. Lineage: Bacteria; Pseudomonadati; Acidobacteriota.